CAGUAGCCGCGGGAAUACCGAGGGUGCGAGCGUUAAUCGGAUUUACUGGGCGUAAAGCGUGCGUAGGCGGCUUCUUAAGUCGGAUGUGAAAUCCCUGAGCUUAACUUAGGAAUUGCAUUCGAUACUGGGAAGCUAGAGUAUGGGAGAGGAUGGUAGAAUUCCAGGUGUAGCGGUGAAAUGCGUAGAGAUCUGGAGGAAUACCGAUGGCGAAGGCAGCCAUCUGGCCUAAUACUGACGCUGAGGUACGAAAGCAUGGGGAGCAAACAGGAUUAGAUACCCGAGUAGUCCCUGUCUCUUAUAA
RNAcentral lists this ribosomal RNA (301 nucleotides) under uncultured bacterium. RNAcentral's name for it is "partial 16S ribosomal RNA". It matches the Rfam family "Bacterial small subunit ribosomal RNA", at positions 509 to 809 of the family's 1533-position model. The record is from RNAcentral.